This 453-nucleotide ribosomal RNA is filed under the name uncultured bacterium. RNAcentral's name for it is "bacterial SSU rRNA". It matches the Rfam family "Bacterial small subunit ribosomal RNA", at positions 340 to 787 of the family's 1533-position model. The record is from RNAcentral.
UACGGGAGGCAGCAGUGGGGAAUAUUGCACAAUGGGCGCAAGCCUGAUGCAGCCAUGCCGCGUGUAUGAAGAAGGCCUUCGGGUUGUAAAGUACUUUCAGCGGGGAGGAAGGCGAUGUGGUUAAUAACCGCAUCGAUUGACGUUACCCGCAGAAGAAGCACCGGCUAACUCCGUGCCAGCAGCCGCGGUAAUACGGAGGGUGCAAGCGUUAAUCGGAAUUACUGGGCGUAAAGCGCACGCAGGCGGUCUGUCAAGUCGGAUGUGAAAUCCCCGGGCUUAACCUGGGAACUGCAUUCGAAACUGGCAGGCUAGAGUCUUGUAGAGGGGGUAGAAUUCCAGGUGUAGCGGUGAAAUGCGUAGAGAUCUGGAGGAAUACCGGUGGCGAAGGCGGCCCCUGGACAAAGCUGACGCUCAGGUGCGAAAGCGUGGGGAGCAAACAGGAUUAGGAUAACC